RNAcentral lists this unclassified non-coding RNA (400 nucleotides) under soil metagenome. RNAcentral describes it as "partial contains 5.8S ribosomal RNA, internal transcribed spacer 2, and large subunit ribosomal RNA". The stretch from base 1 to 122 matches the Rfam family "5.8S ribosomal RNA", at positions 35 to 154 of the family's 154-position model. The record is from RNAcentral.
GAUGAAGAACGCAGCGAAAUGCGAUACUUGGUGUGAAUUGCAGAAUCCCGUGAACCAUCGAGUCUUUGAACGCAAGUUGCGCCUCAAGCCAUUAGGUUGAGGGCACGUCUGCCUGGGCGUCACAUAUCGUUGCCUGAUGCCAGUUUCCUCGUGAUGGGUGACUGUGCAGGGCGAAUGAUGGCUUCCCGUGAGCAUUGUUGCCUCAUGGUUGGUUGAAAAUUGAGUCCUUGGUAGGGAGCGCCGUGAUAGAUGGUGGUUGAGUGACGAACGAGACCCAAUCAUGUGAGACCCCUACCGAAUUUGGCAUUCAUGACCCACAUGCGUCUUUGGAACGCUAAUGACGAGACCUCAGGUCAGGCGGGGCUACCCGCUGAGUUUAAGCAUAUCAAUAAGCGGAGGA